UACGUAGGGUGCAAGCGUUGUCCGGAAUUAUUGGGCGUAAAGAGCUCGUAGGCGGCUUGUCGCGUCGACUGUGAAAACCCGAGGCUCAACUUCGGGCUUGCAGUCGAUACGGGCAGGCUAGAGUUCGGUAGGGGAGACUGGAAUUCCUGGUGUAGCGGUGAAAUGCGCAGAUAUCAGGAGGAACACCGAUGGCGAAGGCAGGUCUCUGGGCCGAUACUGACGCUGAGGAGCGAAAGCGUGGGGAGCAAACAGG
RNAcentral lists this ribosomal RNA (253 nucleotides) under uncultured bacterium. RNAcentral's name for it is "partial 16S ribosomal RNA". It matches the Rfam family "Bacterial small subunit ribosomal RNA", at positions 524 to 776 of the family's 1533-position model. The record is from RNAcentral.